Haliotis rubra (blacklip abalone) is the source of this 695-nucleotide long non-coding RNA. RefSeq lists it as uncharacterized. The transcript has 3 exons. The record is from RefSeq and is a predicted model, not a curated record. Lineage: Eukaryota; Metazoa; Mollusca; Gastropoda; Lepetellida; Haliotidae.
CAUAUUUAUAGACCGCCGUCAUACAGCUGGCAUACUGCAGGGCGCACAGCACACCCGGCCUCACCUCGGAUACACAGACGUUGAAACAACACAAAUAUGGUUGAUCGUGUCAUAGUUCUUAAUUUCCUUAGUCAUAUUCAGUAAUCUCCCUGUGAGACAAGCAUUGACUGAGUGCGUUAUCCUAUCGUUAAAUGUGAGAAACGUGUGCUUGACUUCCCCGGUUGCGUGCGAGUCGCGCGGUUUGCCACGACUAUCACCGUCUUAUCAACCCGAAUAUCUAGGUCUCUAUUAUCAGGGUGGUUGGCAACACGUCGCCCGGGUCAGGAAAUCCACGAAAGGGCCUGAAUGAAACUCGUCCACCUGAAGCGAAAGUGGUGCCUUUAUGAUGACACUGUAAGCCUCAGGUUUGAUUGGUCAGUUGUCGGACACGUGACUUGUGACAUGUAAGCAGACUGGUCAAUCGCGCCCACCGGCCAAGGUAGGUCACCGGGACCCGAGUUCAUGCCUGUCCCCAGCGGGACCCGAGGUCAUGCACUGCCGCAGUUAACCGAAACGUUCACUGGACAAUCGUGUUUAAAGGUUAUUGUUUGAUCGGCUUUCUAGAAGUUUGUGAGUCAAUAUUAAAGCAUACGACUCAUGGAUGACACUCAUGUUUAUUUCAUAGAGCCACGUUUCGGUGCAGAUUCUUAGACCGU